CCUGGUGGACACCAGCUCUCCUAGGAAAUGGCUGAUGUUGCUGAGGAGGCAGCAGUAUCAAAGCCCUUGUUGAUGAAGGUACAACAAGCUGGGGAGGCUUUGGCAUUUCUGCACAAUGCUGCUCCCUGAUUGUCACUCAAGACUCAGAUUCUGAAAGAAGCAAAGCAAGCUAGAGGAAAACUGUACGUCCGGGAUCCAAAACUCCGUAUUACAGCGGAUCUUCUCCUCUGAUCUGAAAAGCUUCACAGGCCAAAAGAGAAUUGAGAUGACGAAGGAAACAGAGAAUGCUGACCAGUAUUUCCAAUUACCACCCGUAUUAGGUGAAGAAGAACACUGCAACCAGCUGAAGCCGUAUCGGACACAUGCUUCUGCUAGGAAUUCAUUCCGAGUGAUUCCACGGUGUACUUUAGACAGGUUUGCUCUGGUCCUCUGGACUCAGCAUCCCCAAGGGAUAUUUCAAAGCUCUCGGAAGGACCUGUCGUUAUCUCUGACACUGCAGCCUCCAUUAG
Anas platyrhynchos (mallard) is the source of this 509-nucleotide non-coding RNA. Lineage: Eukaryota; Metazoa; Chordata; Aves; Anseriformes; Anatidae. The record is from RefSeq and is a predicted model, not a curated record.